Molecule: long non-coding RNA, 384 nt
Filed under: Sorghum bicolor (sorghum)
Lineage: Eukaryota; Viridiplantae; Streptophyta; Magnoliopsida; Poales; Poaceae
Description: long non-coding RNA (SBIC_LNC018346)
Source: RNAcentral
AGUAAUAUGGCAGUGCAUGGAUGUGGAUGCAGUAGUAAUUAAGGAUGAUCACCUCCUUGUUCCAGUCGGUCCUGCAGGUGACCCACAGCAAGAUAAGAGUCUGCGCAUCAUGGUUCCUCCGAUCACCAUUCCACUCCAAACGGAGCUGACAUGAUGAUCAUCUGUGAGGCCUGGUCACGAUUACAGAGUUGAUACCCUAUUGUGUCCACCUUCGUUAAUCCAGGCCUGUGCCUCACGAUAUCUUUUGUGUAAUAGUGUUAUCCAGAGGCAAAGAGAAGGGGAGCAGGCAGGGUCCUGGCCCCCCUCCAAUUAAUGUUCCACGAACUUAAAUAGAUGGAACCUUUAAUCACUGAUAAUUAGCUAUAGAUGUCCUUGCCAAACCCC